RNAcentral lists this ribosomal RNA (292 nucleotides) under uncultured bacterium. RNAcentral's name for it is "partial 16S ribosomal RNA". It matches the Rfam family "Bacterial small subunit ribosomal RNA", at positions 505 to 796 of the family's 1533-position model. The record is from RNAcentral.
GUGCCAGCCGCCGCGGUAAGACGAACCACACAAACGUUAUUCGGAAUUACUGGGCUUAAAGGGUGCGUAGGCUGCGCAGAAAGUUGGGUGUGAAAUCCCUCGGCUUAACCGAGGAACUGCGCCCAAAACUACUGUGCUCGAGGAAGAUAGAGGUAAGCGGAACUUACGGUGGAGCGGUGAAAUGCGUUGAUAUCGUAAGGAACACCUGUGGCGAAAGCGGCUUACUGGGUCUUUUCUGACGCUGAUGCACGAAAGCUAGGGGAGCAAACGGGAUUAGAUACCCCGGUAGUCC